AUUUUAACCUAGCCUCUUCUCUCUAUGCUCCCGCCCACUGAGCCUCUCCUCUCUACGCCAAUGGAACCUCCUGCCCUUUCAUUCAACUACGUUGGAGACGUCAAUUCCGAAAACCUUAACGCCUGCAACGAUGAAACGUUUACCCCCAUCCUUUACCCGAGACGAAAUGGAAGACGAUGAGUUCGACGGCGGCAACUUCGAGGUUGGGGACGACAUGGGUACGAAUUUUCCACCUUACUCUUCUUCCAGCCGAAGCAUUUGAGUUUGUAGCUUAACAUUCUGUUGGAAAUUUUUUUCUACAUUUCUUUAAUUUUUCGGAGGAUAGCCUCUUCAGUUCAACAUGCACUUCUCAAUCCCAAUAUUAAGGCCUUGGUUGAUAUGAUUUUGAUUUAGCUCCAUUUUAUCACCUUUUAAUGAGUUGUUAUAGCUGGGAAGUCCUCCUUUCACUAACUACUCGACAAUUUAACAUAGUUGGCUACAUUAGUUAAGGAUACAAUGUGUAACUUGACUUUUCCCCAAUCUCCAGAGAAUGGCAGUCUCCAGAGAAUGGCAAGCUUGCUGCCAACAGCCUGCUUCACCGUCCCAGAAAGUGAAUCAUUUUCUCAAGACCGUAUGCGAGGAUUCUUAUCAGUUACGAUGGUUGGAUCAGUACUCCUUACCAAGUGAGAUAUGAGCAAAUGUGCAACGCAUUUACCAAGUUAGCUGAUAUGGUAGCACAUGACGAAUCACGGUCGAAGGAUAUUAUUGAUUGGAUUGAAUAUCAAACUAUUGAGCCAUCCACGUUGAAGUCUAGGAGAGAGGUUUCCAUAGGCUUAGAUGGAGCAGCCCAAUGUACUAGUGGAGCCAUCCUUGACUCGAAAUACUCAAGAAGCAAAGGAGCUCCAAAGAAACUUCGCCGAAAGGGACAUUUUGAAACUAGUUCAAAGAAGUCAAAAACUUCUCAAAAGGUUUAAUUUUUUUCUGUUUUUCAAUGUUGAUGGUUGGUACUGUGUAGUCGUGGAGUCGUUCUUUUUUUUUUUCAAACCGCGCAAGGGCCAACAAAGUCAACUUUAUUGAGAAGGCAUAAAGAAAAUGAUUCCACUACAUUCAUUGAUCAGGUAAAUGAGCUUUACAUUGAAUGAUAGCAACUUGUUCGAGAUGCUUGUCUUUGACAUUACCUAUUUCAUUUUGUAGGAUGUCCAUGUACAAAACACCCCUCAUCACAGCCUUCCUCAAGUCGGCACACAAGAGAGCGUGGUUGGUUAUGAUUUUGAGGUCUAAAAUAGAUUCAAAAGGAUAUAUUUUGUUGGAUAAUUCUUUUGUUAAGCCGUUGUAUAUGGAGUAGUUUUUGUAAGCUUCAGUGCAAUAGUUUUUGUGCAUGUAAGCUUAGUAGUUUUUGUCUAGUGAUAUGGGCGUUCUCAGCAUUUGAAGCAAUGGAGCUUGAUUCUAUCGGAUUUUCUAGUGAUAUGGGAGAAAUUUGAAGUGAAGCCUGGAUAUAAUUUCAGAAAUUUGAAGUGAUGCCUCGAUGUAAUUGUCUCAUUUAUUGAUGAAGUGGGUUUUUUUCUUUCCAUAUUUUUCUGUUUCUAGUAAUGAUUUUGGGGAGAACAAUGUUUUGGUUUCAGUUCUAAUAUGUUACAGCAGAUGGUAGCCUUUCACUCAUUUCAUA
This 1645-nucleotide long non-coding RNA is filed under the name Olea europaea subsp. europaea. Lineage: Eukaryota; Viridiplantae; Streptophyta; Magnoliopsida; Lamiales; Oleaceae. The record is from RNAcentral.